CAAGAGUACAAUCAGAGUCAAAAUACAAGAGACAUUUCAAGGCAAACCAUCUUGCAUCCCUUGAAUAUAACAAUAAGAUGGGGGUGUGAUCGCAAAUGAGCCAAUGUGUGAUACAGACAUUUACAAUCAUAAUUCAUCAAAAUCCAUACCGCAUAGUCAGCUAUAAAUUCGAAUGCCCCGCAAUCACAAAUAUAAAACAAUGCAAACGAGCAAACCAACGAUCUGAUUUAUGUAUAUACAUAAAAUGUUAUCAAUUUUAAAGAUGAAAUAUUAAUAGGGGAGAACCGAAUUAGUUUUAAAACAUAAAUCACUGGAAUGUAUGUAUUAUGAAAGAAGCACAAAACAAC
This 347-nucleotide long non-coding RNA is filed under the name Mytilus galloprovincialis (Mediterranean mussel). The record is from RNAcentral. Lineage: Eukaryota; Metazoa; Mollusca; Bivalvia; Mytilida; Mytilidae.